RNAcentral lists this small nucleolar RNA (88 nucleotides) under Cephalotus follicularis. RNAcentral describes it as "Small nucleolar RNA R32/R81/Z41". It matches the Rfam family "Small nucleolar RNA R32/R81/Z41". From Rfam's summary of the family: This family contains the related snoRNAs R32, R81 and Z41 which are members of the C/D class of snoRNA containing the C (UGAUGA) and D (CUGA) box motifs. The record is from Rfam by way of RNAcentral. Lineage: Eukaryota; Viridiplantae; Streptophyta; Magnoliopsida; Oxalidales; Cephalotaceae.
AUUUGAAUAUGAUGAAAGUUAUGAAAUGGGUGAUGAUUAUUAUUCAUCUGAUCAAAAAUCUGUUCGCUACGUUCUUUCUGAUUCAUAC